AGAAUUUCCAGUCCAGAAGCAUCUCCAGAACUUCUGCUCCAGUGCUCCGUGUGGGAGUCACGCCGACAGAAAACCGAUGGAACAGAGAAACGCUGGCAGUAAUUCCAUGUAAAGCAUUCCAAGAUGUGAGCGAGGAGCUCUUGGGAUGUGCUGGAACUCUUGGAACUCCAGCUCUGCUCAGCAGCUGGACACGCUUUGUAUCCGUCACGAUAUUCCUGCCUGGAAAACGACGCUGCCUGAGCCAAGUAUGGAAACACUGGGGUGUUUUUAAUACCUGAUUUCACUGUACACACGGUCUGAUACCACUUCCAUGGAACAUCCCCUGGCUGGUUAAAGGCUUUGAUUCAUUAUUGUUCAUUAUCUGGCUUUUGUUGCUCAGCUCAGGCGCCCGAGUUCCCUCAUAAAAACGUCUCUGACACUUUUCCAAGCGUGGCCGUUGCAGCACCUUUGG
Long non-coding RNA from Manacus vitellinus (golden-collared manakin), 451 nucleotides. NCBI's taxonomy places the organism in Eukaryota, Metazoa, Chordata, Aves, Passeriformes, Pipridae. The record is from Ensembl.